ACAGACGAACGCUGGCGGCGUGCUAAUACAUGCAAGUCGAACGCACUCUCGUUUAGAUUGAAGGAGCUUGCUCCUGAUUGAUAAACAUUUGAGUGAGUGGCGGACGGGUGAGUAACACGUGGGUAACCUGCCCUAAAGUGGGGGAUAACAUUUGGAAACAGAUGCUAAUACCGCAUAAAACCUAACACCGCAUGGUGUAGGGUUGAAAGAUGGUUUCGGCUAUCACUUUAGGAUGGACCCGCGGUGCAUUAGUUAGUUGGUGAGGUAAAGGCUCACCAAGACCGUGAUGCAUAGCCGACCUGAGAGGGUAAUCGGCCACACUGGGACUGAGACACGGCCCAGACUCCUACGGGAGGCAGCAGUAGGGAAUCUUCCACAAUGGACGAAAGUCUGAUGGAGCAACGCCGCGUGAGUGAAGAAGGUUUUCGGAUCGUAAAACUCUGUUGUUGGAGAAGAAUGUAUCUGAUAGUAACUGAUCAGGUAGUGACGGUAUCCAACCAGAAAGCCACGGCUAACUACGUGCCAGCAGCCGCGGUAAUACGUAGGUGGCAAGCGUUGUCCGGAUUUAUUGGGCGUAAAGCGAGCGCAGGCGGUUUCUUAAGUCUGAUGUGAAAGCCUUCGGCUCAACCGAAGAAGUGCAUCGGAAACUGGGAAACUUGAGUGCAGAAGAGGACAGUGGAACUCCAUGUGUAGCGGUGAAAUGCGUAGAUAUAUGGAAGAACACCAGUGGCGAAGGCGGCUGUCUGGUCUGUAACUGACGCUGAGGCUCGAAAGCAUGGGUAGCAAACAGGAUUAGAUACCCUGGUAGUCCAUGCCGUAAACGAUGAGUGCUAGGUGUUGGAGGGUUUCCGCCCUUCAGUGCCGCAGCUAACGCAUAAGCACUCCG
Molecule: ribosomal RNA, 886 nt
Filed under: Latilactobacillus sakei
Lineage: Bacteria; Bacillati; Bacillota; Bacilli; Lactobacillales; Lactobacillaceae
Description: bacterial SSU rRNA
Rfam family: Bacterial small subunit ribosomal RNA
Source: RNAcentral